This is a long non-coding RNA of Bos taurus (domestic cattle), 399 nucleotides long. The record is from Ensembl. Lineage: Eukaryota; Metazoa; Chordata; Mammalia; Artiodactyla; Bovidae.
CUUGUCUGCACAGAGGUUGGACUGGUUGUCGGAGCUGAGGUGGUGCUGCUUGUCUGCACAGAGAUUGUACUGGUUGUAGGAGCUGAGGUUGCACUGCUUGUGUGCACAGGGGUUGCACUGGUUGUAGGAGUCGAGGUGGUGCUGCUUGUCUGCACAGAGGUUGAGCUCGUUGUAGGAACUGAGGUGGUGCUGCUUGUCUGCACAGGGGUUGCACUGGUUGUAGGAGCCGAGGUUGUGCUGCUUGUCUGCACAGAGAUUGUACUGGUUGUAGGAGCUGAGGCUGUGCUGCUUGUCUGCACAGAGAUUGUACUGGUUGUAGGAGCUGAGGUGGUGCUGCUUGUCUGCACAGGGGUUGCACUGGUUGUAGGAGCCGAGGUGGUGCUGCUUGUGUGCACAGAG